GUUUGGGGGGGCUUUUUUGCUCCCCUGCUUAUAAGCACCAGAGCAACAAGUGUUUGGUGAGUGAGCUUAUGGUCAGCUUUUGGAAAAAGCUGCCCCAGCUUUCCCCAGCUUUUAGAAGCCGACUCCCCCCAGCUUUUAGAAGCCAGAAGCCCGCUGAGUACUGUAGCGGUGAUUACUGUUCAUUAAUGAAUUUUUUUAAAUCCCGGUUUCUACCCUCCGUUGGCUGAAGCAAUUACAAUGAACUGCCAUCAAACCCUCGAUAUCGAUAUCAGUCUCUCGCUCUCCCAUCUCCCUCUGCUCGAUCCCAUCUCCCUCUGCUCGAUCACAGAACGCAUCCCAUCCCAUCAAGCAAGCCUCGAUCUCCCUCUGCUCGAUCUCCCUCUCACAGAACCCAUCCAGUCGCCGCCACAUCUCGCGCAUCCCAUUCGAUCUCCCUCUAAUCACAGAACCCAUCGAGUCGCCGCCGCAUCUCGAUCUCCCUCUAAUCACAGAACCCAUCAGUCGCCGCAUCUCGAUCUUGGCCUCACUUGCAUCUCAUCAGGAUUUCGGAAGUGAAAUUGAAGCCUCAAUCAAGCAAGUUUCCCAGCACAGGAAGCUAGCUAGCAGGUAGCAGAAAAAGAGAUCAGAUCAGAAAAGUGGUGCAGGUCUCAUAUUAUAGCUAGUCUGGAUCAUGUGAUUCUAGAGUUUAAAUGAUAUAUGUGAUUCUAGAGUUUAAAUGAUAUCAACUAAAUUUUGUGGUGGGCAUAGAGCCAGUUUGUAGUACACUUUUAUUCAAGUAACUCGAUGGAUUAUCAUCAAAUCUAUAUUUUAACAGUUUGAUAUUUGCUAGCA
Long non-coding RNA from Rosa chinensis, 831 nucleotides. RefSeq lists it as uncharacterized. The transcript has 2 exons. The record is from RefSeq and is a predicted model, not a curated record. NCBI's taxonomy places the organism in Eukaryota, Viridiplantae, Streptophyta, Magnoliopsida, Rosales, Rosaceae.